Molecule: ribosomal RNA, 447 nt
Filed under: uncultured bacterium
Lineage: Bacteria
Description: partial 16S ribosomal RNA
Rfam family: Bacterial small subunit ribosomal RNA
Source: RNAcentral
AACGAACGCUGGCGGCAGGCUUAACACAUGCAAGUCGAGCGCCUCGCAAGAGGAGCGGCAGACGGGUGAGUAACGCGUGGGAAUCUACCCAUCUCUACGGAAUAACUCAGGGCAACUUGUGCUAAUACCGUAUACGCCCUUUGGGGGAAAGAUUUAUCGGAGAUGGAUGAGCCCGCGUUGGAUUAGCUAGUUGGUGGGGUAAAGGACUACCAAGGCGACGAUCCAUAGCUGGUCUGAGGGGCUGAUCAGCCACAUUGGGACUGAGACACGGCCCAAACUCCUACGGGAGGCAGCAGUGGGGAAUAUUGGACAAUGGGCGCAAGCCUGAUCCAGCCAUGCCGCGUGAGUGAUGAAGGCCCUAGGGUUGUAAAGCUCUUUCACCGGAGAAGAUAAUGACGGUAUCCGGAGAAGAAGCCCCGGCUAACUUCGUGCCAGCAGCCGCAGUAA